GACUAUCUUAACAAGAGAGCAUGAGACUCUUAAUCUCAGAGUCGUGGGUUCGAGCCCCACGUUGGGCG
Non-coding RNA from Rhamnusium bicolor, 68 nucleotides. Lineage: Eukaryota; Metazoa; Arthropoda; Insecta; Coleoptera; Cerambycidae. The record is from the annotation of a GenBank genome assembly.